Molecule: non-coding RNA, 30 nt
Filed under: Mus musculus (house mouse)
Lineage: Eukaryota; Metazoa; Chordata; Mammalia; Rodentia; Muridae
Source: RNAcentral
UGAAGAUAUAUAAAUGUGGCGGCCCUCAGG